This 1243-nucleotide ribosomal RNA is filed under the name metagenome. Its description in RNAcentral is "bacterial LSU rRNA". It matches the Rfam family "Bacterial large subunit ribosomal RNA", at positions 1564 to 2816 of the family's 2925-position model. The record is from RNAcentral.
UGAAUACGAGACGCUAAGGCGUCGAAGUAGUGUAUGUCAUACUUCCAAGAAAAGCUUGCACUGUCAUAAGUAAAAAAUGCCUGUACCAUAACCGACACAGGUGGGUAGGUAGAGUAUACUAAGGGGCGCGAGAUAACUCUCUCUAAGGAACUCGGCAAAAUAACUCCGUAACUUCUGGAGAAGGAGUACCUUAUUCUAUAAGGUUGCAAUAACAAGAUCCAAGCAACUGUUUAUCAAAAACACAGGUCUCCGCUAAGUCGUAAGACGAUGUAUAGGGGCUGACGCCUGCCCAGUGCCAGAAGGUUAAAGAAGUCGGUUAGCAUUAGCGAAGCUGGUAACUGAAGCCCUGGUGAACGGCGGCCGUAACAAUAACGGUCCUAAGGUAGCGAAAUUCCUUGUCGGGUAAGUUCCGACCCGCACGAAAGGCGUAAUGAUUUGGAUACUGUCUCGGAGAGGGGCUCGGUGAAAUAGACUUGUCUGUGAAGAUGCGGACUACCUGCACCAGGACAGAAAGACCCUAUGAAGCUUUACUGUAACUUGAAAUUGAAAUUGGACUUUAUUCGCGCAGUAUAGGUGGGAGGUGUUGAUUAUAAUCUUGCGGGAUUAUUGGAGCCAUCAGUGAGAUACCACUCUUGUAAUGUUAGAUUUCUAACUUUGAAUCAUUAUCUGGUCAAAGGACAGUUUCAGGCGGGCAGUUUGACUGGGGCGGUCGCCUCCCAAACGGUAACGGAGGCGUACAAAGGUUUCCUCUGAACGGGUAGAAAUCGUAUCUAGAGUGUAAAGGCAUAAGGAAGCUUGACUGUGAGACCUACAAGUCGAACAGGGACGAAAGUCGGUCUUAGUGAUCUGACGGUACUGAGUGGAAAGGCCGUCACUCAACGGAUAAAAGUUACUCUAGGAUAACAGGCUGAUCUCCCCCAAGAGUUCACAUCGACGGGGAGGUUUGGCACCUCGAUGUCGGCUCAUCGCAUCCUGGGGCGGUAGUACGUCCCAAGGGUUGGGCUGUUCGCCCAUGAAAGCGGUACGCGAGCUGGGUUCAGAACGUCGUGAGACAGUUCGGUCCAUAUCCGGUGUAGGCGUUAGAAUAUUGAGAGGAGCCUUCUUUAGUACGAGAGGACCGAGAAGGACAUACCUCUGGUGUACCAGUUAUCGUGCCAACGGUAAACGCUGGGUAGCUAUGUAUGGAGUGGAUAAUCGCUGAAAGCAUCUAAGUGGGAAGCCCACCUCAAGAUAAGUAUUCUCA